UACGGAGGAGGCAAGCGUUAUCCGGAAUUAUUGGGCGUAAAGCGUCCGCAGGUGGCACCUCAAGUCUGCUGUCAAAGACCGGGGCUUAACCCCAGAAAGGCAGUGGAAACUGAAGUGCUAGAGUGCUGUAGGGGUAGAGGGAAUUCCCGGUGUAGCGGUGAAAUGCGUAGAGAUCGGGAAGAACAUCGGUGGCGAAAGCGCUCUGCUGGACUGCAACUGACACUCAGGGACGAAAGCUAGGGGAGCGAAUGGG
RNAcentral lists this ribosomal RNA (253 nucleotides) under uncultured bacterium. RNAcentral describes it as "partial 16S ribosomal RNA". It matches the Rfam family "Bacterial small subunit ribosomal RNA", at positions 524 to 776 of the family's 1533-position model. The record is from RNAcentral.